AAACAACUCUGAGCUUUCGGGAUUUCCUCCGCAAACUACGUCACAAGCCUGCUGACGUCAACCUUUUUAUAAAGGUCUAUAAUUAAAGCAACGGACUUUGGAUUUGUUGGAGCUGAAAGGUUCAUCAUCAUGGUUAUCUGCCCUACCACUGAAAGACCAAGGCUUCAGUCUAAACAAGGGCGAGUUUCGUGAUGCGUUGAGCCUCAGGUACGGAUGGCAACUGAAAAAUCUUCCCCAAUAUUGCAUAUGUGGGACUAGUUUGUCGACCGAUCAUGCCAUGAUAUGCCCACACGGAGGAAUGACUAUAUCUCGUCAUAACGAAAUCCGUGAUCUUACCGCUGAUUGGAUGAGUGAAGUAUGCAGAGAGGCGGAAACCGGACCGCCAUUGCAGCCCUUAUCUGGAGAGAUUAUCCUUCCCCGUUCCGCAAAUAAACGAGAAGAUGCCCGGGUCGAUAUUAAGACUAUCGGACUUUGGGGACGGCAGCAAAGCGCAUUUUUUGAUGUUAGGGUUUUUCACCCCAACGCGCCAAGCUACCGUGACAAAAGUGUCGCAGCUUUAUUCCGGAAACAUGAACUAGAUAAGAAGAGAGAAUAUGGCGAUCGGAUAAGGGAAGUUGAAAAUGGUUCCUUUACACCACUGGUCUUUUCAACAACAGGAGGUGCCAGCGGAGAAACAACAGUGGUUUAUAAAAGAUUAGCGAAACUUUUGGCCAAC
This is a non-coding RNA of Paramuricea clavata, 715 nucleotides long. The record is from the annotation of a GenBank genome assembly. NCBI's taxonomy places the organism in Eukaryota, Metazoa, Cnidaria, Anthozoa, Malacalcyonacea, Plexauridae.